UGCUGAAUAUUUUCAUGUGCUUACUGACUGAUGCAAGUUUUAAUGAUGAAUAAAGAUGAUUUCUACCGACAAUUCUCUCCUCGGGGGGCCCACAUAUCUGCCCAGAGGUAUGACACUCAGCCAGAUUUUGAGACUCACCACUUGCUCAUUUCCAAGCUUCCGGGCAGUGGGGUUUGGGAGACGACAGCUUCCCAAGCAAGGCAUAGCAACCAGAGAUUUAUACCCCUCUUUCUGUCUCUCUUUUUUUUCCUUUCCUGUCAGAUGCAGGUGAGCCUUUCCUGGAACAAAUUCCUUCAGAAAAAUUCUCCACCAGACCAUCAAUUCAGGAGAGUAAAUGGGGAGCUUAUUGUUAGCAGUUGGGGCCAAACCACCGGAGUUUCCUAUGCCAGUGUCCGCUCACUCCAGGCUGCUGCUGGUCCUGCAAUCAGACAAAUCCAAACCACGGGUAUCUGGGG
RNAcentral lists this long non-coding RNA (455 nucleotides) under Fukomys damarensis (Damara mole-rat). RNAcentral describes it as "lncRNA (ENSFDAG00000026553.1)". Lineage: Eukaryota; Metazoa; Chordata; Mammalia; Rodentia; Bathyergidae. The record is from RNAcentral.